AGUGAACGCUGGCGGUAGGCCUAACACAUGCAAGUCGAACGGCAGCACAGUAAGAGCUUGCUCUUACGGUUGGCGAGUGGCGGACGGGUGAGGAAUACAUCGGAAUCUACUUUUUCGUGGGGGAUAACGUAGGGAAACUUACGCUAAUACCGCAUAUGACCUACGGGUGAAAGCAGGGGAUCUUCGGACCUUGCGCGAUUGAAUGAGCCGAUGUCGGAUUAGCUAGUUGGCGGGGUAAAGGCCCACCAAGGCGACGAUCCGUAGCUGGUCUGAGAGGAUGAUCAGCCACACUGGAACUGAGACACGGUCCAGACUCCUACGGGAGGCAGCAGUGGGGAAUAUUGGGCAAUGGGCGCAAGCCUGAUCCAGCCAUGCCGCGUGAGUGAAGAAGGCCUUCGGGUUGUAAAGCCCUUUUGUUGGGAAAGAAAAGCAGCAGGUUAAUACCCCGCUGUUCUGACGGUACCCAAAGAAUAAGCACCGGCUAACUUCGUG
RNAcentral lists this ribosomal RNA (492 nucleotides) under uncultured bacterium. RNAcentral describes it as "partial 16S ribosomal RNA". It matches the Rfam family "Bacterial small subunit ribosomal RNA", at positions 29 to 507 of the family's 1533-position model. The record is from RNAcentral.